RNAcentral lists this small nucleolar RNA (106 nucleotides) under Gossypium hirsutum (cotton). Its description in RNAcentral is "Plant small nucleolar RNA R71". It matches the Rfam family "Plant small nucleolar RNA R71". Rfam says of the family: R71 is a member of the C/D box family of snoRNAs containing the C (UGAUGA) and D (CUGA) box motifs. Multiple nearly identical copies of this snoRNA have been identified in Arabidopsis, and it is thought to function as a 2'-O-ribose methylation guide for 18S ribosomal RNA. Lineage: Eukaryota; Viridiplantae; Streptophyta; Magnoliopsida; Malvales; Malvaceae. The record is from Rfam by way of RNAcentral.
AAUCUGUGCAUCAGACAUUUUUUAAUUAAGUCUUUAAAUCGUUCCCAAGCUUCAUAUAAUGUUUCAUCUUCCAAUUGCUAAAAGAUGUGAUGUCAUUUCUAAGCUU